UGAAACUAAUCUUCCCGUGAAGAAGCGGGAAUAUCCCCAUAAGACGAGAAGACCCCAUGGAGCUUCAAACCCAAUUACACCCCUAACCCCUAUAACUACUUAACCCUUAGGAUUCUGUAUUAUUGGUUUUAGGUUGGGGCGACCACGGAGUACAACAAAACCUCCACAAUGAACGGAACUACUUCCUCAUCUGAGAGCUACACCUCUAAGAAUUAAAAUAUUAACAUAAAAUGAUCCAUUUUUGAUCAAUGAACCAAGUUACCCUGGGGAUAACAGCGCAAUCCAUUUCAAGAGCCCCUAUCGACAAAUGGGUUUACGACCUCGAUGUUGGAUCAGGGUAUCCUGGUGGUGCAGCAGCUACUAAAGGUUCGUUUGUUCAACGAUCAAAACCCU
This 393-nucleotide ribosomal RNA is filed under the name Mantidactylus katae. RNAcentral describes it as "partial 16S ribosomal RNA". It matches the Rfam family "Bacterial large subunit ribosomal RNA", at positions 2037 to 2597 of the family's 2925-position model. The record is from RNAcentral. Lineage: Eukaryota; Metazoa; Chordata; Amphibia; Anura; Mantellidae.